UUAAGUUCAGCGGGUAUCCUUAUCUGAUCUGAGGUCAAACCUUGAGAUGGGUAGGUUUUGUUCAGGCCGUACCGUUCGCGCUCCCUCCAACAAGUAGGUUUACUAUGUUUUCGGUCAGGCGGAGCGGCCAGCAGAGCUUACAACUUUAAAGCCGGGGCGGGUGUUACGCCGUUCCGGGCUCAGAACCGACAGGUGUCGAG
RNAcentral lists this unclassified non-coding RNA (200 nucleotides) under Orbiliaceae sp. Its description in RNAcentral is "partial internal transcribed spacer 2". Lineage: Eukaryota; Fungi; Ascomycota; Orbiliomycetes; Orbiliales; Orbiliaceae. The record is from RNAcentral.